This is a long non-coding RNA of Chiroxiphia lanceolata (lance-tailed manakin), 385 nucleotides long. RefSeq lists it as uncharacterized. The record is from RefSeq and is a predicted model, not a curated record. The transcript is spliced from 3 exons. NCBI's taxonomy places the organism in Eukaryota, Metazoa, Chordata, Aves, Passeriformes, Pipridae.
UACAAGUGCCCCAGCUGUGGGAAGAGCUUCUGCAGCAGCUCCAACCUCCUCGCCCACCAGUGUGUCCACACAGGGGAACGGCCCUACGAGUGUGAGGAAUGUGGGAAGACCUUCAUCUAUGGCUCCCACCUCUUUGCCCACCGCCGGGUGCACACGGGGGAACGGCCCUACAAGUGCUUGGAAUGCGGGAAGGGCUUCACCGUCAGCUCCCUCCUGAUCCACCACCAGCAGAUCCACACUGGGGAACGGGGACCUCAGCCCUACAAAUGUGGGGAAUGCAAGAAAAGCUUCACCUACAAUUCUCAACUCGUCACCCACCAGCGGGUGCACACGGGGGGAGAAACCCUACAAGUGUGGAGAGUGGAAGAAAUGGUUUAGAGUCAGC